GAAAGCUCCAAGGUGCUUCUCUCACCUUGUGGGAGAGCUCAUUGAAGAAAUUCUUGGCCAGGGCAGCAAUCUGAGGCACAGGGUCGAUGAGCAGCACGGCCAUCUCGCUCACCUGCCCUUUCACUUUCACCAUGUCCUUCAGGAUGAGUUCCUGCUCACAGAUGCUGCGGACCAGCUCUGCCUCCGUGUCGUCAGCAGUGGCCCCGACCAGCCCCAGCUCUUCAUCCAUGGUUGUUUCAGAGCUUGUAUUCUGAGGGGAAGGAAGACAGGGAUCUCGGGUACUGUCUUGAUCCAGGCAGCCAACCUGAAGAAAGCUCAACUGGGCAGACUGCUACUACUGGAGGAGAGGGCCUGCUCAGACCUUCCCUGCCUUCCUCAUUCUAUUUGUUUUCUGGGUCUAAGCCUCACCG
Acomys russatus (golden spiny mouse) is the source of this 410-nucleotide long non-coding RNA. RefSeq lists it as uncharacterized. The transcript has 3 exons. The record is from RefSeq and is a predicted model, not a curated record. NCBI's taxonomy places the organism in Eukaryota, Metazoa, Chordata, Mammalia, Rodentia, Muridae.